RNAcentral lists this ribosomal RNA (253 nucleotides) under uncultured bacterium. Its description in RNAcentral is "partial 16S ribosomal RNA". It matches the Rfam family "Bacterial small subunit ribosomal RNA", at positions 524 to 776 of the family's 1533-position model. The record is from RNAcentral.
UACGAAGGGGGCUAGCGUUGUUCGGAAUUACUGGGCGUAAAGCGCACGUAGGCGGAUACUUAAGUCAGGGGUGAAAUCCCGGGGCUCAACCCCGGAACUGCCUUUGAUACUGGGUAUCUCGAGUCCGGAAGAGGUGAGUGGAAUUCCGAGUGUAGAGGUGAAAUGCGUAGAUAUCGUUUGGAACGCCAAUGGUGAAAACAACUUGCUGGGGGUGUGCUGACGCUGAGACACGAAAGCCAGGGGAGCAAACGGG